UAGAUUAAAUUGGUUCAAAGACCAUACGGUU
Molecule: non-coding RNA, 31 nt
Filed under: Mus musculus (house mouse)
Lineage: Eukaryota; Metazoa; Chordata; Mammalia; Rodentia; Muridae
Source: RNAcentral